This 824-nucleotide ribosomal RNA is filed under the name uncultured bacterium. RNAcentral's name for it is "bacterial SSU rRNA". It matches the Rfam family "Bacterial small subunit ribosomal RNA", at positions 34 to 848 of the family's 1533-position model. The record is from RNAcentral.
CGCUAGCUACAGGCUUAACACAUGCAAGUCGAGGGGAAACGACAUCGAAAGCUUGCUUUUGAUGGGCGUCGACCGGCGCACGGGUGAGUAACGCGUAUCCAACCUGCCCACCACUUGGGGAUAACCUUGCGAAAGUAAGACUAAUACCCAAUGACGUCUCUAGAAGACAUCUGAAGGAGAUUAAAGAUUUAUCGGUGAUGGAUGGGGAUGCGUCUGAUUAGCUUGUUGGCGGGGUAACGGCCCACCAAGGCGACGAUCAGUAGGGGUUCUGAGAGGAAGGUCCCCCACAUUGGAACUGAGACACGGUUCAAACUCCUACGGGAGGCAGCAGUGAGGAAUAUUGGUCAAUGGACGAGAGUCUGAACCAGCCAAGUAGCGUGCAGGAUGACGGCCCUAUGGGUUGUAAACUGCUUUUAUAAGGGAAUAAAGUGAGUCUCGUGAGACUUUUUGCAUGUACCUUAUGAAUAAGGACCGGCUAAUUCCGUGCCAGCAGCCGCGGUAAUACGGAAGGUCCGGGCGUUAUCCGGAUUUAUUGGGUUUAAAGGGAGCGUAGGCCGGAGAUUAAGCGUGUUGUGAAAUGUAGACGCUCAACGUCUGCACUGCAGCGCGAACUGGUUUCCUUGAGUACGCACAAAGUGGGCGGAAUUCGUGGUGUAGCGGUGAAAUGCUUAGAUAUCACGAAGAACUCCGAUUGCGAAGGCAGCUCACUGGAGCGCAACUGACGCUGAAGCUCGAAAGUGCGGGUAUCGAACAGGAUUAGAUACCCUGGUAGUCCGCACGGUAAACGAUGGAUGCCCGCUGUUGGUCUGAAUAGGUCAGCGGCC